UUUCGAUGUUGAAAUAUUACUUACUCAAAACAGAGAUACUUCACGCAUUUAAAAAUAAUAUAUAGUUUUAAUCCUUAUCCGUCACACUGUAUAAAAUCGGGCAUUUCAAAACGUAUCGGCAUUCAGGGCCAUGUGCUUGUAGACGUAGAUGCUGUUUAUUUACACAUACUAGCGGGGAGUAUCAUGAACCUAUCUUUAACCAGCCCAGCCACGUGGAGUCUCAAUGACAAGGGGCUGUAUAGAUAUGUCAGGAUACAGGCAGACCCACACACUGAAACUCUGCAAAGUCACAGUCAAAGGAUACCCCCAACCAAGGACACCCUACUUCUGGGUUAUCACUGGUGUUACCAUGGCGAAUCCUCUUGUAAGAAGAGUCUUCAAGGUUGUGAGAAAAUCAUGUGUGCGUUUGUCCUCGUCAAAUAGAAUUAGCAUGUGUGACAUCACUGUCCGAUCAGGCCACACAGAGCUGCACACUGUUCAGUGGGUUUGAGCACACCUGUGACUCCAAUAAUGCAAAUACAAUUGUGUUCCGGUUGGCUGCUAAUUUCCUUGAAUAAUAGCAUUGAUUUUAUUGCCCUUUCUACACAUGAGUGUUUUUGUCGAUUUUAUCUCCAGUUAACACCAAUAUGUCUAUAUAAUUGUUUAAAAAAAGAGAUAAACAAAAUAUAAUGCAUGUUAAGAUAAACGGUUCCAGAAUAUCAAUAACAGACACCAAAGGCGUAUCAUUCAAUAAAUAUUUUCCCAUGUUCUGAAGCUAAUUUGCAAUAACACAUCGCAAUAUAGUCUCAAUUAAUAUUUUUUGUGAAUGUCAGUGUUCCAAAUUUUACUCUUAUAUAACUUGCAGCCAAAUAGAAAUGUUCCUAGAACAAUAGGCUAAUGAAUUCAAGCUUUCUUUGCUGAUGUAAAAUGAUACUUGAAGUCUCCACUUAUAGUUGCUGUCCAUGUACGAGUUUUUAAAUGGAUUUCAUAAGCAUUUCUUGGAACAAUACUUUUUUUCAAGCUGUCAUAAAUAAUCAUAUUACAUAAGAGAUGGGUUGAUUAACACCAGGGCUCGACCAGUUUUCAUGUUCAGAUUAUAUACAAUAUUAUUUGCCGUGAAAAAAAAACACAAUGAGAAUUUUUUAUACUAUCAUUGUUUUCGAUGCAUUGUUUUGUUGUCGUUGAUUAAAAUCGCCAUUAGAACCAAUUUCAGCAAAUUAAUUAUCAAAAUGAAACUUGACUGUGUCCCUAGCCCAAAGUGGAACAAUCAACAGACAAUAAUAUGCACAAGUGUACUUGUCUGUUCUCAGAAUGUUAAUAUUUAAGUCCACUCAAAUUGAUGUUUCACUGUUACAAUUGACAGCAAGAUCAAAUAUAAUUAUAAACAAAUCUGGAAUUUUUAGCACUUUUUUAUUUAAAAAUAGUAAUAUUAAAAAGAAUAAGUGGAAAUCAAAAUUGUUUUGUAGUGUAAGGGACACAACUCGUAUUGUCUUGUUCAACUUCAAGCAUGCAGUCAUGAGUUCUUUGUAUUGAGGUUUAUAUCUGUGCAAACAUAUAAAAUACAUGUAUUCUAUAGGUCUUUGAUCUGUGUGAAUCUAUUAAUAAAGUAUGUUGUGAGUUA
Dreissena polymorpha is the source of this 1600-nucleotide long non-coding RNA. RefSeq lists it as uncharacterized. The record is from RefSeq and is a predicted model, not a curated record. Lineage: Eukaryota; Metazoa; Mollusca; Bivalvia; Myida; Dreissenidae. The transcript is spliced from 4 exons.